UACAGAGGUCUCAAGCGUUGUUCGGAUUCAUUGGGCGUAAAGGGUGCGUAGGCGGCGCGGUAAGUCGGGUGUGAAAUCUCGGAGCUUAACUCCGAAACUGCAUUCGAUACUGCCGUGCUUGAGGACUGGAGAGGAGACCGGAAUUUACGGUGUAGCGGUGAAAUGCGUAGAUAUCGUAAGGAAGACCAGUGGCGAAGGCGGGUCUCUGGACAGUUCCUGACACUGAGACACGAAGGCCAGGGGAGCAAACGGG
RNAcentral lists this ribosomal RNA (253 nucleotides) under uncultured bacterium. Its description in RNAcentral is "partial 16S ribosomal RNA". It matches the Rfam family "Bacterial small subunit ribosomal RNA", at positions 524 to 776 of the family's 1533-position model. The record is from RNAcentral.